This 73-nucleotide transfer RNA is filed under the name Saccoglossus kowalevskii. RNAcentral describes it as "tRNA-Arg". It matches the Rfam family "tRNA". From Rfam's summary of the family: Transfer RNA (tRNA) molecules are approximately 80 nucleotides in length. Their secondary structure includes four short double-helical elements and three loops (D, anti-codon, and T loops). Lineage: Eukaryota; Metazoa; Hemichordata; Enteropneusta; Harrimaniidae. The record is from RNAcentral.
GACUCCGUGGCCUAAUGGAUAAGGCGUCCGACUUCGAAUCAGAAGAUUGCGGGUUCGAGUCCUGUCGGGGUCG